AACGAACGCUGGCGGCGUGGAUAAGACAUGCAAGUCGAACGGGACUAAAUCUGUAGCAAUACAGGUUUAGUUUAGUGGCGAACGGGUGCGUAACACGUGGGCAAUCUGCCGAGAAGUGGGGGAUAGCUCGCCGAAAGGCGAAUUAAUACCGCAUAUGAUCAGUGAAGACAUCUUCACGACAUCAAAGCCGGGGCAACCUGGCGCUUCUUGAUGAGCCCGCGGCCUAUCAGCUAGUUGGUGAGGUAACGGCUCACCAAGGCUAUGACGGGUAGCUGGUCUGAGGGGACGACCAGUCACACUGGGAACUGAGACACGGUCCAGACACCUACGGGUGGCAGCAGUCGAGAAUUUUUC
RNAcentral lists this ribosomal RNA (354 nucleotides) under uncultured bacterium. RNAcentral's name for it is "bacterial SSU rRNA". It matches the Rfam family "Bacterial small subunit ribosomal RNA", at positions 29 to 367 of the family's 1533-position model. The record is from RNAcentral.